This 216-nucleotide ribosomal RNA is filed under the name Bicosoecida sp. CB-2014. RNAcentral describes it as "partial Bacterial large subunit ribosomal RNA". It matches the Rfam family "Bacterial large subunit ribosomal RNA", at positions 861 to 1076 of the family's 2925-position model. The record is from RNAcentral. Lineage: Eukaryota; Bigyra; Bicosoecida.
GAAAUAGCUUUAGGGCUAGCCUCGUUUUAGUCUUAUGGAGGUAGAGCACUGAAUUUCCGCGGGGGCGUCAAAGCUUACCAAAGAAUAUCAAACUCCGAAUGCCGCGUAAUCGAUUAUCGGGAGUCAGACUGCACGAGAUAAGUUGGGCGGUCAAAAGGGAAAGAGCCCAGACCACCGGCUAAGGUCCCAAAGUGUGUGUUAAGUGGAAAAGGAUGU